Molecule: ribosomal RNA, 1496 nt
Filed under: Cutibacterium acnes
Lineage: Bacteria; Bacillati; Actinomycetota; Actinomycetes; Propionibacteriales; Propionibacteriaceae
Description: partial 16S ribosomal RNA
Rfam family: Bacterial small subunit ribosomal RNA
Source: RNAcentral
CAUGGCUCAGGACGAACGCUGGCGGCGUGCUUAACACAUGCAAGUCGAACGGAAAGGCCCUGCUUUUGUGGGGUGCUCGAGUGGCGAACGGGUGAGUAACACGUGAGUAACCUGCCCUUGACUUUGGGAUAACUUCAGGAAACUGGGGCUAAUACCGGAUAGGAGCUCCUGCUGCAUGGUGGGGGUUGGAAAGUUUCGGCGGUUGGGGAUGGACUCGCGGCUUAUCAGCUUGUUGGUGGGGUAGUGGCUUACCAAGGCUUUGACGGGUAGCCGGCCUGAGAGGGUGACCGGCCACAUUGGGACUGAGAUACGGCCCAGACUCCUACGGGAGGCAGCAGUGGGGAAUAUUGCACAAUGGGCGGAAGCCUGAUGCAGCAACGCCGCGUGCGGGAUGACGGCCUUCGGGUUGUAAACCGCUUUCGCCUGUGACGAAGCGUGAGUGACGGUAAUGGGUAAAGAAGCACCGGCUAACUACGUGCCAGCAGCCGCGGUGAUACGUAGGGUGCGAGCGUUGUCCGGAUUUAUUGGGCGUAAAGGGCUCGUAGGUGGUUGAUCGCGUCGGAAGUGUAAUCUUGGGGCUUAACCCUGAGCGUGCUUUCGAUACGGGUUGACUUGAGGAAGGUAGGGGAGAAUGGAAUUCCUGGUGGAGCGGUGGAAUGCGCAGAUAUCAGGAGGAACACCAGUGGCGAAGGCGGUUCUCUGGGCCUUUCCUGACGCUGAGGAGCGAAAGCGUGGGGAGCGAACAGGCUUAGAUACCCUGGUAGUCCACGCUGUAAACGGUGGGUACUAGGUGUGGGGUCCAUUCCACGGGUUCCGUGCCGUAGCUAACGCUUUAAGUACCCCGCCUGGGGAGUACGGCCGCAAGGCUAAAACUCAAAGGAAUUGACGGGGCCCCGCACAAGCGGCGGAGCAUGCGGAUUAAUUCGAUGCAACGCGUAGAACCUUACCUGGGUUUGACAUGGAUCGGGAGCGCUCAGAGAUGGGUGUGCCUCUUUUGGGGUCGGUUCACAGGUGGUGCAUGGCUGUCGUCAGCUCGUGUCGUGAGAUGUUGGGUUAAGUCCCGCAACGAGCGCAACCCUUGUUCACUGUUGCCAGCACGUUAUGGUGGGGACUCAGUGGAGACCGCCGGGGUCAACUCGGAGGAAGGUGGGGAUGACGUCAAGUCAUCAUGCCCCUUAUGUCCAGGGCUUCACGCAUGCUACAAUGGCUGGUACAGAGAGUGGCGAGCCUGUGAGGGUGAGCGAAUCUCGGAAAGCCGGUCUCAGUUCGGAUUGGGGUCUGCAACUCGACCUCAUGAAGUCGGAGUCGCUAGUAAUCGCAGAUCAGCAACGCUGCGGUGAAUACGUUCCCGGGGCUUGUACACACCGCCCGUCAAGUCAUGAAAGUUGGUAACACCCGAAGCCGGUGGCCUAACCGUUGUGGGGGAGCCGUCGAAGGUGGGACUGGUGAUUAGGACUAAGUCGUAACAAGGUAGCCGUACCGGAAGGUGCGGUUGG